AGUCGAACGGAGGUAUGGGCUUCGGCCCAUGCCUUAGUGGCGAACGGGUGAGUAACACGUGAGCAACCUGCCCCGUACUACGGGAUAACACUAAGAAAUUAGUGCUAAUACGGUAUAUGACCACACCGAGGCAUCUCGGAGGGGUAAAAGCGUUUAGCGGUACGGGAUGGGCUCGCGGCCAAUUAGCUAGUUGGUGAGGUAACGGCCCACCAAGGCGACGAUUGGUAGCCGACUUGAGAGAGUGAUCGGCCACACUGGAACUGAGACACGGUCCAGACUCCUACGGGAGGCAGCAGUGGGGAAUAUUGGGCAAUGGAGGAAACUCUUACCCAGCAAUGCCGCGUGAGUGAAGAAGGUCUUCGGAUUGUAAAGCUCUUUGAUUGGGGACGAAUUAAUGACGGUACCCAAGGAACAAGCCCCGGCUAACUAUGUGCCAGCAGCCGCGGUAAUACACAGGGGGCGAGCGUUGUCCGGAAUGACUGGGCGUAAAGGGUGUGUAGGCGGCUUCGCAAGUUGGAAGUGUAAUACCAGGGCUUAACUCAGGUGCUGCUUCCAAAACUGCGAGGCUUGAGUGUCGGAGAGGAAGAUGGAAUUCCUAGUGUAGCGGUGGAAUGCGUAGAUAUUAGGAGGAACACCAGAGGCGAAAGCGAUCUUCUGGACGAUAACUGACGCUGAGGCACGAAAGCGUGGGGAGCAAACAGGAUUAGAUACCCUGGUAGUCCACGCCGUAAACGAUGGAUACUAGGUGUAGGGGGUAUCGACUCCCCCUGUACCGCAGCUUAACGCAAUAAGUAUCCCGCCUGGGGAGUACGGCCGCAGGGUGGAAACUCAAAGGGAUUGGACGGGGACCCGCCCAA
This 857-nucleotide ribosomal RNA is filed under the name uncultured bacterium. RNAcentral describes it as "bacterial SSU rRNA". It matches the Rfam family "Bacterial small subunit ribosomal RNA", at positions 60 to 928 of the family's 1533-position model. The record is from RNAcentral.